RNAcentral lists this ribosomal RNA (497 nucleotides) under uncultured bacterium. Its description in RNAcentral is "partial 16S ribosomal RNA". It matches the Rfam family "Bacterial small subunit ribosomal RNA", at positions 28 to 507 of the family's 1533-position model. The record is from RNAcentral.
GAUGAACGCUGGCGGCGUGCCUAAUACAUGCAAGUCGAGCGAACAGACGAUGAGCUUUCUCCUCUGACGUUAGCGGCGGACGGGUGAGUAACACGUGGAUAACCUACCUAUAAGACUGGGAUAACUUCGGGAAACCGGAGCUAAUACCGGAGAAUAUAUUGAACCGCAUGGUUCAAUAGUGAAAGACGGUUUUGCUGUCACUUAUAGAUGGAUCCGCGCCGCAUUAGCUAGUUGGUAAGGUAACGGCUUACCAAGGCAACGAUGCGUAGCCGACCUGAGAGGGUGAUCGGCCACACUGGAACUGAGACACGGUCCAGACUCCUACGGGAGGCAGCAGUAGGGAAUCUUCCGCAAUGGGCGAAAGCCUGACGGAGCAACGCCGCGUGAGUGAUGAAGGUCUUCGGAUCGUAAAACUCUGUUAUUAGGGAAGAACAAAUGUGUAAGUAACUAUGCACGUCUUGACGGUACCUAAUCAGAAAGCCACGGCUAACUACGUG